GGGUCAGUAGGUUGGUCGUGCCACCGGUACGUACUGGUCUCACUGAUUCCUCCUUCCUGAAGAACCGUAAUGCCAUUAAUUUGGUGUUGCGGGGAAACAGGACUGUUACUUUGAAAAAUUAGAGUGUUUAAAGCAGGCUAACGCUUGAAUACAUUAGCAUGGAAUAAUGAAAUAGGACGAUCGAUCCUAUUUUGUUGGUUUCUAGGAUUGACGUA
This 215-nucleotide ribosomal RNA is filed under the name Glomeromycotina sp. RNAcentral describes it as "partial small subunit ribosomal RNA". The stretch from base 40 to 215 matches the Rfam family "Eukaryotic small subunit ribosomal RNA", at positions 686 to 864 of the family's 1831-position model. The record is from RNAcentral. Lineage: Eukaryota; Fungi; Glomeromycota.